RNAcentral lists this ribosomal RNA (228 nucleotides) under uncultured bacterium. RNAcentral describes it as "partial 16S ribosomal RNA". It matches the Rfam family "Bacterial small subunit ribosomal RNA", at positions 103 to 334 of the family's 1533-position model. The record is from RNAcentral.
CGGGUGAGUAAUGUCUGGGAAACUGCCUGAUGGAGGGGGAUAACUACUGGAAACGGUAGCUAAUACCGCAUAACGUCGCAAGACCAAAGAGGGGGACCUUAGGGCCUCUUGCCAUCGGAUGUGCCCAGAUGGGAUUAGCUAGUAGGUGGGGUAAAGGCUCACCUAGGCGACGAUCCCUAGCUGGUCUGAGAGGAUGACCAGCCACACUGGAACUGAGACACGGUCCAG